This 633-nucleotide ribosomal RNA is filed under the name Fusarium sp. CMT37. Its description in RNAcentral is "LSU rRNA". It matches the Rfam family "Eukaryotic large subunit ribosomal RNA", at positions 33 to 689 of the family's 3401-position model. The record is from RNAcentral. Lineage: Eukaryota; Fungi; Ascomycota; Sordariomycetes; Hypocreales; Nectriaceae.
ACUAAGCAUAUCAAUAAGCGGAGGAAAAGAAACCAACAGGGAUUGCCCUAGUAACGGCGAGUGAAGCGGCAACAGCUCAAAUUUGAAAUCUGGCUCUCGGGCCCGAGUUGUAAUUUGUAGAGGAUACUUUUGAUGCGGUGCCUUCCGAGUUCCCUGGAACGGGACGCCAUAGAGGGUGAGAGCCCCGUCUGGUUGGAUGCCAAAUCUCUGUAAAGUUCCUUCAACGAGUCGAGUAGUUUGGGAAUGCUGCUCUAAAUGGGAGGUAUAUGUCUUCUAAAGCUAAAUACCGGCCAGAGACCGAUAGCGCACAAGUAGAGUGAUCGAAAGAUGAAAAGCACUUUGAAAAGAGAGUUAAAAAGUACGUGAAAUUGUUGAAAGGGAAGCGUUUAUGACCAGACUUGGGCUUGGUUAAUCAUCUGGGGUUCUCCCCAGUGCACUUUUCCAGUCCAGGCCAGCAUCAGUUUUCCCCGGGGGAUAAAGGCGGCGGGAAUGUGGCUCUCUUCGGGGAGUGUUAUAGCCCACCGUGUAAUACCCUGGGGGGGACUGAGGUUCGCGCAUCUGCAAGGAUGCUGGCGUAAUGGUCAUCAACGACCCGUCUUGAAACACGGACCAAGGAGUCGUCUUCGUAUGCGA